Molecule: RNA transcript, 2512 nt
Organism: Argiope bruennichi
Lineage: Eukaryota; Metazoa; Arthropoda; Arachnida; Araneae; Araneidae
Gene name: silk gland factor 1-like
Exons: 3
Source: RefSeq, a predicted model, not a curated record
GCAUUUUCUAUUGUGCUUCUGUUGUGUUGACUUCCGACUUGGUCUAACAAGCUGAUAAUUAGGUGAACGCCUAAUCGGGCUCUUAGACGGCGAGUGAACGAAGAGAAGAGCAUUGAGCUGUUACGAGGAGAUUCAGAUGGAAAAGGAGAGGUUUUAACCCCGCCCCGGACGUGAUCCGGGCGGGACUGGAGGCGGGCAGCGAUUGGUGGAGCGUCGCUUACGUCACGCUUGGGGGGCGGGUUUGUGGAUGUCGUUAGUGAUCGGCAGGGCAGAUCCGGAGGAGGAUUUGCAUGCAGAGGGGCGUAGUUCUAUGCCGGAGCGGUGAGAACUUGGUUUUGUGUGCCUUUUCCAUAUUUACCUAAGGCUGACACUCCACGGACGGAGUUUAGCCGGAGCGCUUCCACGAGUACCCAGGAUUGGAAAAGUCACUCCGUUUGUCGCUCGAGUGUUUACACGGCCAAGCGCAUGUGGUCUCGACCUAGGACCGGAGAGGUCACCGGUCGGAUCCACGCUCACUGAUUGAAUUAAGUGUUGUUUUCCAAGACAGAUGCUGUGUGUUUUAUAACAUCUCGCCUUUUUUCGUUAAUUUUUUUUCUUCCCUGUGUUGUGAUUUUGAACUGACUUCAUCAUGAUGCUGAGCCAUAAAGGCUACCCGGACUCGAGCUGCAGUAUGGGUACGAUGCAACCCAUGAGUGCGAUGAGUAACAGUUACAGUAUGAACAGUGCUACCGCUUCGUCCAUGAGUAUGGCGGGUAUGAACUAUUCCCCGCAAAGUUUUGGUACGAACAUGAUGUCAGCGUCGGCCAUGGGUGGCAUGGGUCCCACGGCCGGAAUGGGCAUGGGCGGCACAGCGGGAACAUGUAUGUCUCCCACGAUGACGGCCAUGACCCCUCUUGGGGGUAUGAACUCCCUCAACCAGAGUAUGAACGGCAUGACUUCGCCGGCGUGCAUGGGUUCCAUGACGGGACUGGGUGGUAUGAACGCUCCUCUAGUCGCUGCUGCUGGACGUGAUUUUGGUGGUCAUGGUGGCUCAGUCGACGGUGGUUCCGCCAGCGCUGCAACAGCAGCUCUCCAAAGAGCCAGAGCCGACAAAACCUACCGAAGGAGUUAUUCCCACGCCAAACCCCCUUAUUCCUACAUCUCCUUAAUCACCAUGGCGAUCCAGAACAGCCCCAGUAAAAUGCUGACUCUGAGCGAGAUCUACCAGUUCAUAAUGGACCUCUUCCCAUACUACAGACAAAACCAGCAGCGAUGGCAGAAUUCCAUCCGCCACAGUCUCAGCUUCAAUGACUGUUUCGUAAAAGUCCCGCGAACUCCUGACAAGCCCGGAAAAGGUAGCUUCUGGACGCUGCAUCCGGACUCCGGCAACAUGUUCGAGAACGGGUGCUACCUCCGAAGGCAAAAAAGGUUUAAGUGCGAGAAGAAAGAAGCCGUCCGACAGGCCACAAAGAGCUCUCAAAGCAGCAACAGCAGCCCAUCCCCUGCUGGGAAAGGGGGCAGUGACAGUCGCAUAUCACCGCAUCCCCAUCAACAGCAGCCACCGCCACCCCAUCAUCUACAGCAACACCCUCAUGUUCAGCGUGGGACUCCGAACAGUAGCCCUCAUGGUAUGAACGCUCAGGGGUAUGGUAGUCACCAAAUGUCUGCCCACUCUCACCUUGUAGAAGCAUGCAAAGCAGAAGACCCAUCGUGUUGCAGCCCUCCUAUCAAUGGUCAAGGCAUGCAUCACGCCGCCUUGGAGCACCAACUGGCCGCCAUCCACCCUCGCAAUCUCACCGAGGCCGCUGUCCUUCAUUCAGGAAUGCUGGCAGCAGGACAACUCAAAACGGACCCCCACUUCAACCCUUCUAAUCAUCCCUUCUCCAUAAACAACAUCAUCGCCAGCGAGAACAAAGCCGAUAUGAAACUGUACGACAUGGUUCAGUACGGGGCUUAUGCUCCUCUAUCCCCCGUGGGCCCAGGAGGACAACAUUCCUUGCCCAAUGAUGCCUCUUCGUAUUACCACUCGUCACUGUAUUCUGUCCACCAGUCGACGACCUCUGGCAUGUGAACAGAAGUGACAGCCGGGGAUGUCAGACGGACGGAAGAGUACGACAGCCAACAUCGACCACAAAGACUCCUCAUCUUCGUCUUCUCUUUCACGUGCAAACAAAACAUUAGACACCUUCAACUCCCCCGUGCUCCGUGUCUCGAACUCUUCGGCUCUUGGGAACGCUCAAAGCCAGAAGGUAACUAUGCCAACCUGUUUCUGCAAGACCUCUUCUUUGGACACUUAGCUUUUGUGCCAUACUUCCCAAGUGCUGCUUCAAGGUGGCUAGGGGAUUCGGAACACCUGCCUCAGUCAAAAGGCAACUGAACCCGCUGCAAGUCUCUUGCGCCAUCUUUUAGUAUGAAACAGGAGACAAAGCUAUGACGUCCAAAGCUCAAUCUCUGGAGCCAUGAACUAAAAAUAACAACACAUUUAUUAUGAUAGUCAUUUCAAAAUCUGUAUAGUAAUUUGUAUAAUAAAAAA